This is a long non-coding RNA of Oncorhynchus tshawytscha (Chinook salmon), 245 nucleotides long. RefSeq lists it as uncharacterized. The transcript has 2 exons. The record is from RefSeq and is a predicted model, not a curated record. NCBI's taxonomy places the organism in Eukaryota, Metazoa, Chordata, Actinopteri, Salmoniformes, Salmonidae.
UACUCUGUCCUAGGGAUAGAGACAACACUAGAACAGAACACUAGAACACACAGGUAGGUACUCUGUCCUAGGGAUAGAGACAACACUAGAACAGAACACAGAACACACAGGUAGGUUCUCUGUCCUAGGGAUAGAGACAACACUAGAACAGAACACAGAACACACAGGUAGGUUCUCUGUCCUAGGGAUAGAGACAACACUAGAACAGAACACAGAACACACAGGUAGGUUCUCUGUCCUAGGGA